CGCUCGUAGCAAUACGGGAGUGGCAGACGGGUGAGUAACGCGUGGGAACAUACCCUCCGGUUCGGAAUAGCUCAGGGAAACUUGGAUUAAUACCGGAUACGGCUGAGAGGCGAAAGAUUUAUCGCCGGAGGAUUGGCCCGCGUUCGAUUAGCUUGUUGGUGAGGUAACGGCUCACCAAGGCGAUGAUCGAUAGCUGGUCUGAGAGGGUGAUCAGCCACAUUGGGACUGAGACACGGCCCAAACUCCUACGGGAGGCAGCAGUGGGGAAUAUUGGACAAUGGGCGCGAGCCUGAUCCAGCCAUGCCGCGUGAGUGAUGACGGCCUUAGGGUUGUAAAGCUCUUUCGCUCGGGACGAUAAUGACGGUACCGAGAUAAGAAGCCCCGGCUAACUUCGUGCCAGCAGCCGCGGUAAUACGAAGGGGGCUAGCGUUGUUCGGAAUUACU
This 444-nucleotide ribosomal RNA is filed under the name uncultured bacterium. Its description in RNAcentral is "bacterial SSU rRNA". It matches the Rfam family "Bacterial small subunit ribosomal RNA", at positions 67 to 555 of the family's 1533-position model. The record is from RNAcentral.